Heteronotia binoei (common prickly gecko) is the source of this 802-nucleotide long non-coding RNA. RefSeq lists it as uncharacterized. The transcript is spliced from 3 exons. Lineage: Eukaryota; Metazoa; Chordata; Lepidosauria; Squamata; Gekkonidae. The record is from RefSeq and is a predicted model, not a curated record.
AGGAAGGGCUUUGGAGAACAGCCCCUCCCUUUCUUUUGCGUUCAGUUUUCAGAGCAAGUAAAGUUCUGCAGGAACAAGACCCAAUGUUCUCUCAGCUGGGAGAGACCAGACAAUCCCAACCUCGGAGCUGUGGUGGUGUAGCAGGAGGAGCCCGCGUUAUCAAUUAAAACCGGAUCAGAGACAGAAGAGGCCUGAGGCGAAAUCAGGAAAACAGCUUUCUUUAUUACAUACACCUCCUGGAGGCCACUGUGGAGGUGAACUUCUGCUGCUGAAUAAGAAGGUGAGAGGAGAACUAUGAGCGCUUCUUGGUCAGACCUGGGGGUCACAUGGCUGGCGGAGGGGGGCCUCUCUCUGGAGGAGUUUUGGAGCCCCCUGCAUUUGAUGGCGCAUGAUGCGGAGCUUGCAAGAGAAGAAGGACAUCCACUGUUUCUUGCUACAUGUUCAUUCAUGUUCCCAGCUGGACUGCUGUCUGCAUACAUCCCAGUGGGGUCACUGCCUUCGUCGUAAUCUCCCUGCUUGUACUCAGCAUAGGAAAUUCUGGAGGCUCCUUUGGAACUGCUAGCAAUCCCAGAAAGGACUCUCCUUCUUUGGCACUAAGAGGAGCAGCCAGAAGUGGAUGCUUUGGGGCUCUCUCCUCUUCUUUCAGACUUAUUCAGGGUGGUACACAGAGACUUCCCUGCCAAGGAUGGACAGUUCUUCCCUCCAAGAGCUUACCACCGAUCUUCCUGUAUCUUGCCUGACUAUGGUGCAGGGAAUCUGUUAUGUACUUUCCCAAAAAACAUUAAAAUUGACCCUCACUGCU